GCCGGGCGCGGAGGCUUGUGCCUGUAGUCCCAGCUUCUCGGGAGGCUGAGGUGAGAGGAUCGCUUGAGCCCAGGAGUUCUGGGCUGUAGUGCACUAUGCCAACCGGGUGUCCGCACUAAAUUCGGCAUCAAUAUGGUGACCUCCCGGGAGCGAGGGACCACCAGGUUUCCUAAGGGGGGUGAACCAGCCCAGGUCGGAAAUGGAGCAGGUCAAAACUCCUGUGCUGGUAAGCAGUGCGAUCCUGCCUGUGAAUAGCCACUGCACUCCAGCCUGGGCAACAUAGCAAGACACCAUCUCU
RNAcentral lists this signal recognition particle RNA (298 nucleotides) under Saimiri boliviensis boliviensis (Bolivian squirrel monkey). RNAcentral describes it as "Metazoan signal recognition particle RNA (ENSSBOG00000007279.1)". It matches the Rfam family "Metazoan signal recognition particle RNA". From Rfam's summary of the family: The signal recognition particle (SRP) is a universally conserved ribonucleoprotein. Lineage: Eukaryota; Metazoa; Chordata; Mammalia; Primates; Cebidae. The record is from RNAcentral.